AUCCCAAAUUUUUUGGAUAAAGGUGUAGUUGAGUUAAGUUGAGUUGAGUAUUUAUCUUUUAGUUCUGGCCUCCCAGAUGAGUUGCAUACAGAGACUGAUGGAUCUUCAUUAUUUUUAUGUAUGGGUUCUGGGUAGGUUUUUGGGGUGGUAGUGGGGUUAUACAGUCAUAUAUACUUCCAAUUUUGUUCUGGGAUUUUAUUUUAUUUGAUUGGUCCUGAUAAUAGCUGGCUAAACCAAUGUAUGCAAACAUUGGAUGUCCAUCGCAAGCCACGCUUCCAGGUUUUUUUGGCUGAAAAUAACUGGACCCUUUCAUCUGAGUGGAAGGAUCCGAGUUGUACGAAAAAUUACAUGGUUAAUAAUUUUU
This 364-nucleotide unclassified non-coding RNA is filed under the name Hevea brasiliensis (rubber tree). The record is from RNAcentral. Lineage: Eukaryota; Viridiplantae; Streptophyta; Magnoliopsida; Malpighiales; Euphorbiaceae.